UUGACCUCGGAUCAGGUAGGGAUACCCGCUGAACUUAAGCAUAUCAAUAAGCGGAGGAAAAGAAACCAACAGGGAUUACCUUAGUAACGGCGAGUGAAGCGGUAACAGCUCAAAUUUGAAAGCUGCCAACAGGCCGCGUUGUAAUUUGUAGAAGCUGCUUUGGGUGUCGGCCCGGUCUAAGUUCCUUGGAACAGGACGUCAUAGAGGGUGAGAAUCCCGUAUGUGAUCGGUGCCGUUGCCCGUGUAAAGCGCUUUCGACGAGUCGAGUUGUUUGGGAAUGCAGCUCAAAAUGGGUGGUAAAUUUCAUCUAAAGCUAAAUAUUGGCCAGAGACCGAUAGCGCACAAGUAGAGUGAUCGAAAGAUGAAAAGCACUUUGGAAAGAGAGUUAAACAGUACGUGAAAUUGUUGAAAGGGAAGCGCUUGCAACCAGACUUGCGGGCGGUCGAUCAUCCGAGGUUCUCCCCGGUGCACUCGAUCGUUCUCAGGCCAGCAUCGGUUUCCGGGGUGGGAUAAAGGCGGUGGGAAUGUGGCUCUUCGGAGUGUUAUAGCCCACCGUGCAAUGCCGCCACUGGGGACCGAGGACCGCGCUUCGGCUAGGAUGCUGGCGUAAUGGUUGUAAGCGACCCGUCUUGA
This 633-nucleotide ribosomal RNA is filed under the name uncultured fungus. Its description in RNAcentral is "eukaryotic LSU rRNA". It matches the Rfam family "Eukaryotic large subunit ribosomal RNA", at positions 1 to 657 of the family's 3401-position model. The record is from RNAcentral. Lineage: Eukaryota; Fungi.